Molecule: unclassified non-coding RNA, 313 nt
Filed under: uncultured Xylariales
Lineage: Eukaryota; Fungi; Ascomycota; Sordariomycetes; Xylariales
Description: sequence contains ITS1
Rfam family: 5.8S ribosomal RNA (bases 1-105)
Source: RNAcentral
GAAAUGCGAUAAGUAAUGUGAAUUGCAGAAUUCAGUGAAUCAUCGAAUCUUUGAACGCACAUUGCGCCCAUUAGUAUUCUAGUGGGCAUGCCUGUUCGAGCGUCAUUUCAACCCUUAAGCCUAGCUUAGUGUUGGGAAUCUACUGUGGUAGUCUACUACCUUGUAGUUCCUGAAAUGAAACGGCGGGUCUGCAGUAUCCUCUGAGCGUAGUAAAUUUUUAUCUCGCUUUUGUAAGGUGCUGUGGCUCUUGCCGCUAAACACCCAAUUUUUAAUGGUUGACCUCGGAUCAGGUAGGAAUACCCGCUGAACUUAA